This 8928-nucleotide small RNA is filed under the name Pongo abelii (Sumatran orangutan). Its description in RNAcentral is "retained intron". Lineage: Eukaryota; Metazoa; Chordata; Mammalia; Primates; Hominidae. The record is from RNAcentral.
AGAAGACUGUAACUACAGCUUCUAUGAUUACCACAAAGACACUACCUCUCGUCUUGAAAGCAGCAACUGCGACCAUGCCUGCCUCUGUGGUGGGCCAGAGACCUACCAUUGCUAUGGUGACCGCCAUCAACAGUCAGAAGGCUGUGCUCAGCACUGAUGUGCAGAACACACCAGUCAACCUCCAGACGUCUAGUAAGGUCACUGGGCCUGGGGCAGAGGCUGUCCAAAUUGUGGCAAAAAACACAGUCACUCUGGUAAGCCAGCAGCUGCUCCUCAUGUGUGAUCACAUGAGAAGGUUAGGAUAUGCAUUAGUAUAGUAUAUCCCUUCUAGGCUCCUGCUGGAUUUCUCAGUUUCCAUCAUUCUUCUGGCAUACCAAAUUCCCCUUUGGGGCUGACAAGGGAAUAUGGCAUUUCUGCUAUCUGCUCAAAUCACUACAGAAAGCGUUCUGACAACCAAGGACCAAAUUCAGUGCAUUAUCUGAGGUCAAAGUAUGACUUGAUUUUAGGGGGAAGGUCUCCUUCACAGAGACUUACGCACUGUUUCAUUUAUCUCUCCCUCUCCCUUCAUUCUCUGCAGCGUUUUCCUGUGAAACUUGAGUGCUUAAACUCUCUUGUGCUGUAUUACUGCCUUGGUGAAAACUCCCUGAUAAUUCUUUCAGUGUUAAUAUCUCUUUAAAUUUAUUGUACCCAGAAAGUACUGGAGUUAGUUGAGGCACUUUAAAAAUAUUCAAGAAACUCACAAAUUAACCGUGUCAGUGCCCAAGUUUUGUUCAGGAAAAAAAAAAAAAAAAUCCCCUUAAGGAGGAAGUACUUGAACAAGAAUUUUCAUGAGAGUUCUAGGAUCGAGCCAUUUAGAAAACUGAUAUUCUCAGAAGCUUGGGAGAAAUAUAUCUAAAUUUUGAUGUAAAAUUCCCUUAAAAUGGCACCUAGGAGCUCUUGGUGCCUUUUGAAUAAUACCAGUGGUGAGUGAAACUAAAGAGCAAUAAAGUGAAGCUUCACCACUUACCCAGGAAUCCUUAGAGAAGCAACCAGGUCACUCAAGCAGAUACUGAGAGAAAAUUUUCUAUAGGAAUAAAGCCAUUCACUGUUAGCUUAUAUCAGGAAAAAGCCUAUUUGGGUAAGCAGCAAGUUUGAUUUUACUUUGGAUCCAGUCUUGACUUUUAAAAUAUAUUAAUGCAAAAACUCUUGAGUGUCAGAGAAAAUUGUCUAAGAUUUGCUGAGCCUGCUAUGUUCUCCAUUAGGUGUAGGAGGAAACAGAAGUGUGGUUGGUUCAUUUUAUAGGGUAAAGCAUGCAGGUGGGAGAGUUAAAAAGUUUCCUAAUGCAGUGUUAAUUCAGAUGAUUAACUUACGAUGAAAGCUUGUAGAAAAUACUGUCUGAUCCAAAGAAUAGUGAUGCUAAAAAUACUAGCUUUGAUAUUGAAGAGUAAUUGUUCUCUCUGGUUUAUUUAUCUUCCUCAUUUUUUAGCAGGUUCAGGCAACACCUCCUCAGCCCAUCAAAGUACCACAGUUUAUCCCCCCUCCUAGACUCACUCCACGUCCAAACUUUCUUCCACAGGUUCGACCCAAGCCUGUGGCCCAGAAUAACAUUCCUAUUGCCCCAGCACCACCUCCCAUGCUCGCAGCUCCUCAGCUUAUCCAGAGGCCCGUCAUGCUGACCAAGUUCACCCCCACAACCCUUCCCACAUCCCAGAAUUCCAUCCACCCCGUCCGUGUCGUCAAUGGGCAGACUGCAACCAUAGCCAAAACGUUCCCCAUGGCCCAGCUCACCAGCAUUGUGAUAGCUACUCCAGGGACCAGACUCGCUGGACCUCAAACUGUACAGCUUAGCAAGCCAAGUCUUGAAAAACAGACAGUUAAAUCUCACACAGAAACAGAUGAGAAACAAACAGAGAGCCGCACCAUCACCCCACCUGCUGCACCCAAACCAAAACGGGAGGAGAACCCUCAGAAACUUGCCUUCAUGGUGUCUCUAGGGUUGGUAACACAUGACCAUCUAGAAGAAAUCCAAAGCAAGAGGCAAGAGCGAAAAAGAAGAACAACAGCAAAUCCGGUCUACAGCGGAGCAGUCUUUGAGCCAGAGCGUAAGAAGAGUGCAGUCACAUACCUAAACAGCACAAUGCACCCUGGGACUCGGAAGAGAGGUCGUCCUCCAAAAUACAAUGCAGUGCUGGGGUUUGGAGCCCUUACCCCAACAUCCCCCCAAUCCAGUCAUCCUGACUCCCCUGAAAAUGAAAAGACAGAGACCACAUUCACUUUCCCUGCACCUGUUCAGCCUGUGUCCCUGCCCAGCCCCACCUCCACAGACGGUGAUAUUCAUGAGGAUUUUUGCAGCGUUUGCAGAAAAAGUGGCCAGUUACUGAUGUGCGACACGUGUUCCCGUGUAUAUCAUUUGGACUGCUUAGACCCCCCUCUGAAAACAAUUCCCAAGGGCAUGUGGAUCUGUCCCAGAUGUCAGGACCAGAUGCUGAAGAAGGAAGAAGCAAUUCCAUGGCCUGGAACUUUAGCAAUUGUUCAUUCCUAUAUUGCCUACAAAGCAGCAAAAGAAGAAGAGAAACAGAAGUUACUCAAAUGGAGUUCAGAUUUAAAACAAGAACGAGAACAACUAGAGCAAAAGGUGAAACAGCUCAGCAAUUCCAUAAGUGUAAGUAAAACCUCACGCCUUCAGCAGUCGAUACAUAGGUGCAGAGACCUAGGCCUUUCCAUAUACGUAACAGUACGUGUGGGCCCCAGGCUGCUUCGGGUCUUUCUGUUUAUUAACGUGAUUAACUUGGGCAAAUGCAGUUUGCCAUCCAGUUAAGAGUUCAGACCUCAGGUACAGGCGACCAGUUGGUAGGUGGUGCCUUACCCAAGCUUUGUAACAUCCUCCUGGCUUUAAUCAGAGAGGAUUUUCAGUCUUCAGGCUGAAUAAGUAACAGCUACAACAGUGUAGCCAUGGCCUUGCGUAUUCCUGACUGUGUGGGGGGAGCGUAGCGCCUCACCUGACACUGAGCAGACACAGACCAGGUCCCCUCGUGUGAUUCUUCCUAGUCACCUGAGCGAGUGGGCCCAUCCAUACGGCCCUCCCUCGCUCUUUCUUCCACACCAUGCUGAUUGCAUUUCCCGGUUUUCCUGACCAGUGUGAGGAAGCGGGCUUUCUAGAGACAAGUAUUGGAAGUAAGUACUGCCCAGCCCGGCCUGUCCAAGUGGGAAAGAGGGUUGUAUUUGCAGCAGGGGGACAGAGGCUCCUCCCAGGCAAGGAGCCAGUCUUCUUUUCCAUUGAGUAGGUCACCCUUGUUGGAGUGAAGUGACCUCAGCCCUCAUGGAUACCAGGUGGUGCCUUGUACUUGGUGGCAGUUGAACUGUCCUGCUUACCUGCUUUCUCCUCCUCACCAUACCUACCCGUGGCAUGCAGAUUUAACACCUCUUUGAUCUCUUUCUCUGCCUAAAAUAGAAGCCAGCAGGCGUGGGAAGCUGAGGGCAAAAGGGCCAAAGACUCCAAGUCCCUGGCUGAGCAGAAGGUGUACUGGCUGCAGGCCUUUGUCCUUGGGGCUUCGAUCCUCCUAAAUGCUGCUGGCCUGUCCUCUCACUUCCUGCUGCCCUCAGAUGGAAUCCAGAUAGCACUGCGUGUUUUCCACCCUGGAGAGCUCAGUCCAGUCCUGAAGGCUCCCCAGUUAGCAUGACAGAAGCGUAUCAAAACCUGCCUAAACAGGCUGCAGGGCAGCUGUGGGAACUUUUUUUUUUUUUAAACAACCUUUGUUUGGAAGUCUGAUGGCGGCUCUGCCGGUUUGUUUUUAAGCGUUAGUACUCCCGUGUGUUGGUGCCCGCAUGCUCUUUCUCCCUCUGUUGCCUCUGGGACCCCCCCAGCCUACCCACUCCACCCGCCCUGUUCCUUAGGUAGUAGCUGCCCACUCCACUGAGGAGCACAGCAAGGCCCAGGGGCUGCACAGCAGCCAGCAGAGCUUCUUCUCCCUGGGCAGAGAGAAGGCGCUCUGCUCUCAGGGGCUGCCAGGCCUGUUAGAAACAAGGCGGCUCAGUGCCACUGCCCUUGUCAUUUGCUGCAGAAAUGCAUGGAAAUGAAGAACACCAUCCUGGCCCGGCAGAAGGAGAUGCACAGCUCCCUGGAGAAGGUAAAACAGCUGAUUCGCCUCAUCCACGGCAUCGACCUCUCCAAACCUGUAGACUCUGAGGCCACUGUGGGGGCCAUCUCCAACGGCCCGGACUGCACCCCCCCUGCCAAUGCCGCCACCUCCACGCCGGCCCCUUCCCCCUCCUCCCAGAGCUGCACAGUGAACUGUAACCAGGGGGAAGAGACUAAAUAACAGAGCCCCUCUAAGAGAAGCCACGGGAUCCCGGCGGCAAGGAGAGCAGAACACUGAAGACUCUAGAAAAGCAAAGCCGGAUUUCUGGAAAGUGCAGAAUUCUUUUGGUUCUUUGGUUCCAGAGAGAGAGAAGAUGCUUGUGCCAGGUGGCACCAGAGUUUGCCAAUUGAUCCUUCUUAUUCUGUGUGUACAUGCAAAGAUUGGACCAUGUUACAUGAAAUAGUGCCAGCUGGAGGUUCUUUGCCAGCACCAUGCCAAGUGAAAUAAUAUAUUUACUCUCUCUAUUAUACACCAGUGUGUGCCUGCAGCAGCCUCCACAGCCACGAUGGGUUUGUUUCUGUUUUCUUGGGUGGGGAGCAGGGACGGGCGGAGGGAGGAGAGCAGGUUUCAGAUCCUUACUUGCCGAGCCGUUUGUUUAGGUAGAGAAGACAAGUCCAAAGAGUAUGUGGGCUUUCCUGUUUCUAAACUUUCGCUACUAUAAAACCAAAAAAAGGAAUUGAGAUUUAACCAACCCUAGUGCCCAGAAGAGGGAAGGGGAGUGGCUGGAGGGAGCAGGGGGUGGGACAGUGUAUCAAAUAAGCAGUAUUUAAUCACAUCUGGUGGGGGCCUCGUGCAAGGGGAGACCGACACCAAGAACAGCCAGUAGGUUCUUCUCCCCUGCGCUCUGCUCCCUGCGCAGUAACCCCACCACUCCUGAAGCCUGCCCAGUCUCCUUCCUUCCCUGCUUGGUGAAUCGCGCAUCUCCGUGGUUAUCCCGCUGUCUCCUCUCCAAGAACAAGCAGAGCCCGGGCCACUGGCCCUUGCCCAAGGCAGGGAAGAAGGAUGUGUGUGUCCAGGAAGGAAAAAAAGGUGGAUCAGUGAUUUUACUUGAAAACAAGCUCCAUCCCUUUUCUAUAUUUAUAAGAAGAGAAGAUCUUGAGUGAAGCAGCACGCGACCCAGGUGUGUGUGAAUUGAAUGGAGACGUUUCUUUUCUCUUUCUUUAAUUUUUGUUUUUGUUCUUUUUUUCUUUAAGGAAAGUUUUAUUUUACUGUUCAUUUUACUUUCUUGGUAACAAAAACUAAAAUAAGGAAUAGAAAAGCUGUUUUUCAGGCUGACAGUCCAAUUAAGGGUAGCCGAGACCUUGCAUGGUAGAGUAGGAAUCAUAGUGUCAGUGAGGUCCCGUGAGUCUUUGUGAGUCCUUGUGUCAUCGUUCGGGCACUGUUUUUUUAUGCAAGGGCAAAAAUCUUUGUAUCUGGGGAAAAAAACACUUUUUUUUAAAUUAAAAAGGAAAAUAAAAGAUAUUGAGGUCUUCCUAGUGUUACUUAAAUUAAGAUCAAGGUAAGAAACAUUGUAAAAAAAAAUUACAAAAGUGCUAUUUGUUUCCUAAAAACAGUGAUUUCUAUUAAAAAGGUGUCAGAACUGGAGAAAAUGCCGUGUAGUUAUAAUUUUUUAGCACAGACCCUGCUGAUCACGAUGACAUUUUGCUGUGUGUGUGUCUCUAGACUGGUGGGCCAGUCUCCUUGAAGGACAGAGGCGGAGCUCCCCACCCUUCUCUCUCCUCAGAAAAGACCGUGCUCUCUUCUUGGUGCAGGGAUCUUGUCUCCUGUUGUGAAGCCCAAAUGGAAGUGUGGAUGGUAUCAGGGCCCUACCCGUGGUCUUCUCAGAUUCUGCUAGAGCAAAAGGCUGGUGCCUAAAUAAGAUCCCUUCCUUUGGUGCUGCUUUUGGUCUUUCAGCCACCAGCAUUAUGAGUGCCUGGGGGACACCUCCAAGGGAACUGGCCAGCGGAGCUCAGUGGUGCGCACGCACCCUGGCUGUGACAGGAGGGUGCGGGAGUACAGGCUGGCUGCAUCAGCCCUUGGUGCUUAGAAAGAACAGAGGAGGAGUGACAUGUUUUGAGGGUACGUCUCUGAGACAGAGCCCCAGCAUGGCCUUCGCUCUGUCUUGCCUUUGGGGAGAGGUCUGAAGCUCCCGCUCCUUUCUCUGCGUGUUGGCUCCAGGCACCAGAAAUUUACUCCACUCUACCCACCCACAGGCCUCCUGGGUGACCCUGGGCUAGAAUUGCUGCGCUUGCCUCGGCUUUGCCGGUUGUGGCCUCUCCUUCUUGAGAAAACCAGGGUUGUGAAAGACUCAGACCAUUCUCUCAUCUUGCCUUGUCAGAAGUAAAUUGUGUCAGAUGCGUGCUCUCGCUGGAGACCUUUGCCCCUUGCAUGCCCCUGGCUGAUGGGAGGGCGGCGGAGGCUCUGUACCCUGGCCCUGCUGCAGCAUCUCCCCCAAGCCCACUUCAGGCCCUGGGAAUGGCCAGAGUCUAGGAGAGGUAGAAACGAUCCUAUCAGCUUCUCUCCCACCCAAUUAGGCCCAGAGAGACAAAGACAGAUCUGAAAGCAAAUGCAACAGAGAAGAGAUACUUCUUAGAGUAAAAUGUGUCUCAUCUCUAUCAGCCAUCACCAUUCAUCUUCCCAAGGGCCUCAGAAGAAGGAAUUAAGUUUGGCUGAACAGGCCUCAGAGUUAGGCCCUGGCUGCUUGAUUGGCUGAGGGGGAAAGAGUUCUCUUUUCUCAUUCAGAAACCAAGGUGCUGUGUCUAGUCAGGGAGCCUUGGAGAUGCCUGGACUAGUUGGAGGAAUCGUUGGCAGAGGAUCAGAGACCAGCAGCAGGCUGUCUGCCCUGUCUAGAGCUCUUCCCCUCAACUUGUCUGGGCCCAUCUGGGGGUUGCCACACAACACCUAACUUACCUUUUCCUGAAAUAAGUUGGGAAGCCAUCAUCACUAGAGGCCUUUGCUCAGAGAGGAGCUGCCUGAGGAGUCUCGGGUCGGGGGACGGGGCCAGGAAUUGACCAGGGCUUUGCCUGCCGCCCUCAGCAGUGUUGGGUACAUUCUGACCUCGCCUGCAGCUGGGCUGUGGAUUCUUCCUGACAUUCAGAUGUGAGCUGUUUUGGGAGUCAGCUAGUAUGGAGUACAAGAUGCAACCCAGCCCCCAAACCUACAUUCUGCACUCAAAUUCCAAAACACUGCUUUACUGUAAAGAAGAGGCCCCUGGCACUCAAUCUCCCUGUCCUUCACUGUCCCCUCAGACCUGGGCGGGGUGGGGGGGCCUGUGACCACCUGAGACAUACGUUCGUGACACUGCCCCACCCCAGCCACCUCCACUUGCUUCCUCCUCCUUCCCUCCGCUGCUCUUUCCCCAUGGCCCAGAAUUUAGCUGCUCUGACAGCCACUUUUGAGACCAGCUGGCUUUGCAGUCACUUCAGAGAGCUGGAGCGGCUGCCCACUGGGCCCUGACUGGGAGUCCCCUGCCAGCUCCUGAUCAGGCGCUGCACCCUGGUGGCAGUGAUGACUGGGAGUCCCCUGCCAGCUCCUGUCCAGGCACUGCAUCCUGGUGACAGUGAGGCCAUGUUGCUGUCAUCUCCACCUCUGCAUUCUUGCUGCCCGCGGGUCCUUUUUCUUUCAUGGAGCCUGCUGGGUCUUGUCUCACCUGUGCUGAGCUCAUCUGGGGUUUUGAUUUCUUCUUUCCUUAUCAGGCCCUUUGGGGUAAGCCUGCUGGUUGUACCUGACAUAGGGAGGCAGUUAGGGGCAGUCCCUGGUGGGACCGCCCUGGCAGCCUCCAGCUGGCACCAUCGUGUGCCUGGUUUCCCUGCAACACCUGCCUCUCUGUCCCUGCUGCUGCUUGGCUCAGGCCCAACAGGCAGCGUGCAUGGAGGUGGUUGCACACAGCUGUUUCCGUGAGGGUGACCGUAUCUGUAGCACUCUUCCGUCUCCGCAUGCAUGGCUGCCUCUCCAGCCACCUCUGAUACUUCUCUCUUGGGGCCAUCAGAGCCUCCCUUGGGCUGUCACCUCCCAGCUCACACACACUCUUCAGUGGUUUCCUCCCUUCAUUCUCUUAUAGGGCGUGGUCCUUCUUAUUUAUCUAAAGGGCUGAAUUUAGGAGACUUUUUACCCAGGGGCAAAAGGCUCUUAGGAUAAUGAGAUGGAUGGUGGCCCAGGUGCAUUUUCCAGGGCCUGGGUUCUCCAGAUCCCGUGGCUUCUGUUGAGUGGAGGCAACUUUGCUCUGUGUGAACCUCGCCCCUGUCCCUCUGCCGGGUACCCCUGGCAGGAAGCAGGACUCCCAUUCUCACCCUGACUUAGACUGUCCCCUGAGUCAGCUCCUCUCCAAGACAGGAGUGGGCAGCCCUGGGCAGUCUUCUGGCCCCUUGCUAAAGUGAGGGGCCGGAAGCUGGGGCUGCCCUCCAGAAAGCCAGGGUAGGAACUCUGAAAAAUAACUCCUCUAAACGGAAGCAGGGCUCUCCAGUUCCACAAGGCCCUUCCUCCCUGAGGACCCCACCCCCUACCCCUUCCCCAGCAGCCUUUGGACCCUCACCUCCCUCUGGUGUCCGUGGGUCCUCAGCCCAGGGUGAGCUGCAGUCAGGCAGGACGGGACGGGCAGGCCAGAGGUCAGCCAGCUCCUAGCAGAGAAGAACCAGCCAGACCCCAACCCUGUCUCUUGUCCAUGCCCUUUGUGAUUUCAGUCUUGGUAGACUUGUAUUUGGAGUUUUGUGCUUCAAAGUUUUUGUUUUUGUUUGUUUGGUUUUUGUUUUGAGGGGGUGGGGGGAUACAGAGCAGCUGAUCAAUUUGUAUUUAUUUAUUUUAACAUUUUACUAAAUAAAGCCAAAUAAAGCCU